GAUGAACGCUGGCGGCGUGCUUAACACAUGCAAGUCGAACGAUGAAGCCCAGCUUGCUGGGUGGAUUAGUGGCGAACGGGUGAGUAACACGUGAGUAACCUGCCCUUAACUCUGGGAUAAGCCUGGGAAACUGGGUCUAAUACCGGAUAGGAGCGUCCACCGCAUGGUGGGUGUUGGAAAGAUUUAUCGGUUUUGGAUGGACUCGCGGCCUAUCAGCUUGUUGGUGAGGUAAUGGCUCACCAAGGCGACGACGGGUAGCCGGCCUGAGAGGGUGACCGGCCACACUGGGACUGAGACACGGCCCAGACUCCUACGGGAGGCAGCAGUGGGGAAUAUUGCAUAAUGGGCGCAAGCCUGAUGCAGCGACGCCGCGUGAGGGAUGACGGCCUUCGGGUUGUAAACCUCUUUCAGUAGGGAAGAAGCGAAAGUGACGGUACCUGCAGAAGAAGCACCGGCUAACUACGUG
Molecule: ribosomal RNA, 466 nt
Filed under: uncultured bacterium
Lineage: Bacteria
Description: partial 16S ribosomal RNA
Rfam family: Bacterial small subunit ribosomal RNA
Source: RNAcentral